AUGAACGCUGACAGAAUGCUUAACACAUGCAAGUCUUUGGCGAAGCUGUGCUUGCACCGCCUAGCCAAGGCGGACGGGUGAGUAACGCGUAAGGAACUUGCCCUGCAGUCAGGGAUAACAGACGGAAACGACUGAUAAGACCUGGUAAAGUCGGGCGGACUCAUGUCCAGCCUGAUGAAAAGAGAUGCUGCAGGAGAGCCUUGCGUCCUAUUAGCUUGUUGGUGGGGUAACGGCCCACCAAGGCGAUGAUAGGUAGCCGGCCUGAGAGGGUGGACGGCCACAAGGGGACUGAGAUACGGCCCUUACUCCUACGGGAGGCAGCAGUGGGGAAUAUUGGACAAUGGGGGCAACCCUGAUCCAGCAAUUCUGUGUGCACGAUGAAGGUUUUCGGAUUGUAAAGUGCUUUCAGCAGGGAAGAAAAAAAUGACGGUACCUGCAGAAGAAGCGACGGCUAAAUACGUG
This 462-nucleotide ribosomal RNA is filed under the name uncultured bacterium. RNAcentral's name for it is "partial 16S ribosomal RNA". It matches the Rfam family "Bacterial small subunit ribosomal RNA", at positions 29 to 507 of the family's 1533-position model. The record is from RNAcentral.